This is an RNA transcript of Coffea arabica (coffee), 2040 nucleotides long. RefSeq lists it as uncharacterized. Lineage: Eukaryota; Viridiplantae; Streptophyta; Magnoliopsida; Gentianales; Rubiaceae. The record is from RefSeq and is a predicted model, not a curated record.
UCUCUUUCUUUUGCUUUCCCCCCAAAAUUUCUCAAUGGCGACCGGUCCUGGCUCCGGCCGGGCGACUGAGGCUCGAUCCGGCGGGAAAAUAGUGACGAAUCGCCGGCGGAAGCUCACAACCGCCACCCCCUACGACCGUCCACCUCAGCCUCCACCUCAGGAAAGCCCUAAUUGGCUGACUGGCGUAAUUUUCCCUGCUACACGCAAGAUUGCAUCAGGUGCUGCUAAAAUUUUGUCCACCGUCUUCGAUUCGUCGUCUUCUUCGUCAUCCUCUUCUUCCGACAGCGAGGCUGCUAGCGAUGAUGAUGCUAAUCAAUCAAACAAGGAUCGUGAGAUUUUAUCAGAAGCACUUGAAUGUGUUGAUAAGGAGCCUCAACUAAGUUUGUAUAGCAGUGUGACAAAGAUUGCAAUUGAGCGACUGCUCACGCAGGAGAGUUUUUCUAGGGAAGAGCGUGAUAGACUUGUACAAAUUAUUGACUCUCGUGUCAUGAUGGGAGGGGAAGAGAAUAUUCUACCUACUGGUGUGCCUGUUGGAACAGUUGGCAACGAUACUGCUGAUCUAUGCACUAAAGCUGUUGCAGAAGCGAGGAAAUGGCUGGAGGAGAAGAGAGUGGAAUCAAGUCCGCUGUCAGACUUGGCUCACGAGUCUCAUGGUUUAAGCCAUAUCAAACUUCAACGUAGUGAAAAUGAAGCGGGCUCUCCUAUUGAUGUGGCCAAAUCGUACAUGAAGUCUCGUCCUCCAUGGGCCUCUCCGCUUGCAGAACAUAUUGAACUGCGAACAGCAUCAGCAAUCCCAUCAGAAAUGACAAGAGAGCUUUUCAGGGAAAAAACACCAGCUUCAUGUGGUGGCGGCUCUUUGUCUUCAUCCAAGAAAAGGAAUUUUGCAUCUUGUUCAUGGAAUAUUGAGGAGGAAAUACGAAGAGUACGAUCAAAGGCUUCAGAGGAUAUGCUAAAUUCCCUCUCUUCCUCAAAAAUUGAUCUGUCACCACUUGCAACUACACUUAAACCCCGCCAGGACUCUUUAAUAGCUGAUAUACCAAAUAGCAGAGGAGAUUUGGGAAACAAAUCGAACAUUGUGACUGGUACUCCAUCUGCUGAUGCAUCAGUACAUUUGGCUGCAGGGUUGAACACUUCUAUUGGAAUUUCAGCUUUGGAGACAAGACAAGAUGACUUAGCAAAUGAAAGUUUGACGCCCCAUCCGGCUGCUAUUGUUUCAGAAGAAUACCAGGACUUGGAAGCUUUCAAGAUUACUGAUGAAUGUCCUGGUUCAAAGUCCAAUCACGUUACUCUGGAUCUUGCCACAGAGCACCUUGAUGAAUUUAAUCAAAAAUUGACGAGGCAGUUGCAAAAUGAAUUCUUUGUACAAACCAAAAUUCCUAUGGACAGCAUCUCAUAUAAGAGGAGCCAAGAUCAAGUCAGACAAAAGUUUCUCCAGCAGGAGGAGUGAGAGAAUUUGAUGAAAUAGGAAAUGACAAUGGUCUUCAUACUUCGCAAGAAAGGGGUUUGUCUUUAGAAGUGGGAACCAGAGAAGUUGAUGGGCAAGCUCCUGAUGGAAACUCCAAAGCAGAUGGAAAUGAUUUGGGUACUACUAGUAGCAUUCCCCUUGAAGAUGCGCGUGAACUUAUAAGUGAAGCCUCCAUUGAAGUCCCAAUUGUGGAUGAAACGAAUGGUUUUGGGAAUGUAUCACAAACAAGUCCCGUUGUGCAUAAUGAGUUGUCGCAAGAGCCAACUCAACCUUACAUAGAUAAGGUAGCCCAGAAGGCUGAUGGCAAGGCGGUCAAACACGAAGCUAAGAAACCAGGUAAAUACAACCGGAGAGGCCGGGGAAGGGGUAAAUAGUGUUUCUCUUCAGGCAUUGCUGCUUGAGUUGUACACUAGCCUAAAUUUAGGUAUUCCACUUAGGUCUGUUGUAGAAUCAAGGGUGCUAAUGUUAGGCAGAAAGAAGUGUACUAUUUAGUGUUUAAGCAAUUGCAGGUUCAGUGUUGUAUUAGUCAUAUUUAUUUUGAUUUAAAUAUGGGAAAAUUUAUUUUGAUUUAAAUA